RNAcentral lists this long non-coding RNA (906 nucleotides) under Zostera marina. RNAcentral's name for it is "long non-coding RNA (ZMAR_LNC005221)". Lineage: Eukaryota; Viridiplantae; Streptophyta; Magnoliopsida; Alismatales; Zosteraceae. The record is from RNAcentral.
AUAUAGAAAGUCAUACGUGACAAAAAAAACGAAUAUGAAGACGAAAGAGAGUCACAUACCGACAGGGAGGUGAAAGUUGAAAAAAUAGGUGAAAGUCGAAGAAAAUAGGGAAAGUCGCAAUGGUUUGCAGCAACUCCGGCGAGGUGAAAAAAAAAAGAAAAAAAAGAUGAAGACGUGUAAGUGGUAGGUUGAAGGUAUGAAAUGAAAGAAAUAUGAGAAAAAAUUUGGAUAUAAAGUACAACUUUUAAAGAGAUUGUUGAAUGAUUAUUGUAGAAAAAAGAGUGGAUGUAUUCCCGGCAAGAUAAAUGAUUGUUGAAAAAGAUUAGACGUGUUUCCGGCGAGAUGAAUGAUGCAAAACACAAAUGGGCUUCCCGACGAGUUGAAAAAAAAGGGAAGAGGUGCGCGAAGAAAAGUGGGUGGAGGUGAGAGUACGUGAUAAGUGAGGUAUGGAGGGAAAAGGUACUUGACAAGUGAAGUACAAAUUAGUUGAUAAAGUAGAUAUAAGUAGGGAGAAAAGUCAUAGCUAGGUGUGGAAGGAAUCUUUAUUUUAUGGAGAUGUGUACACAAACUAAAUAAAAGGAUAGACGGCUGAGAUGUGAAAUGGAAAGAUCAAGCAUUUUUGAGCUCACCAUAUGAUGAGCUCGUGUGAUAAUUCGUGUUCAAUCGAUAUGUUUUAAUUUGAAAUGUUAUUAUUUAAAAUAAUUUAAAUAUCUUUACUUAUUUAAUUUAAAAUAUUCUCAUUUAACAUAAUUUAAAUAUUCUUAUUUAUUUGAUAUAAAAUGCCAAAUUUUAACAAAAGAUAAAUUUAACCUAAGAAUGAGCAUAGGUCAGGUAGUUCGGGCAAUUCGUGUCGACACGAUACGAACACGAUUGAUACGACUGAUUUUUUCAUUGACACAAAACGAC